AGGUAGCAUUCCACCCUCUCUUUCCAAUAUGUCCAAACUGCAGGAGCUAGCUUUGGACCUGAAUUCCCCAGAAGGAAGCAUUCCAAGGGAAAUAGGUAAUCUUCGUUUUUUAACCUUGCUAAACGAGCAAGCUAACCAGCUUGCAGGUCCUAUACCACACAGUAUCUUCAACCUUUUUUCGUUGCAGUAUAUCGCAUUGACAGGCAAUCACCUAUCUGGAAAUCUUCCAGAAGAUGUAUGUUUUAAUCUUCCAGAGCUUAAAGGCUUUAUCUUUCCAAAAAUGCAUUAUAUGGCCUAAUCCCCCUAGGCUUAGAAAAAUGUACACAACUUCAAGUUCUAUCCUUGUCUUUAAAUGGAUUUUUUGGAGGCAUACCAAGAGAACUUGGGAACUUAACUCAGCUAACGCAGUUAUUACUUGGUACCAACAAUUUGGAAGGUUCAGUCCCAAAUGAGAUUGGGAAUCUUCGCAGAUUGGAAGUAUUUGGAAUCCAUGACAGCAGGUUAAGUGGUUCCAUUCCCAAAAGUAUCUUUAACAUUUCAACACUGCAACUGUUUUCAGGAGCUCAGAAUCUUCUAUCAGGAGGUCUUCCUUUCAACAUCGGUCAAGGGGUGCCAAAUCUUGAAGCCCUUUACUUAGGAAAUAAUGCUCUUAGUGGAAAUAUCCCAUAUUCUAUCUCAAAUGCAUCAGAAGUUACUAUAUUAGACCUUUCUUAUAACAGUUCGGUGGUCCAAUACCCAAUUCACUUGGAAAUUUAGGAUCCCUUGAAAUAGUGAGCCUACGUGACAACAGUUUGGUGGUUGAAUCUUCAUCUUCAGAAUUCAGGUUCCUCGCUUCUUUGACAAAAUGCAGAAAUCUAGCAAAAAUUUAUAUCGGCGAGAAUCCUUUAAACGGUAUACUUCCAGCUUCCAUUGGUAACUUGACCUCUCUCAUGAUAUUUGAUGCAAUCAAAUGUAAAAUCAGUGGCUAUAUUCCAGAAGAAAUUGGAAACUUAAGUAAACUUGUCGAUCUAAGUUUAACUGACAAUGACUUGACCGGAUUCAUACCCAAGACGGCUGAAGGUUUACAAAGCCUCCAGAGGUUGCACUUUAGCAGCAAGAAGAUAAGUGGAUCACUCCCAGACAACAUCUGCAAUUUGCAAAACCUUGGUGAUCUGAAUUUGACAGGGAGUCAAAUUUCUGGUCCUGUUCCAUCCUGCAUAGGAAACAUUACUUCCCUGAGAAAUCUUUACCUAGGUUCCAACAAUUUCAGCUCCAGUUUACCAUCUAGCUUAUGGGGGUUGAAAGAUCUUCUGAGAUUUGAUGCAUCCUCGAACAUGUUACUUGGCCAUGUACCUCCUGAAAUUGGAAAUCUGAAAGCUGCAAUAUUGAUUGAUCUCUCCAAAAAUAACUUUUCUGGAAUAAUGCUAUCUCUAUAGAUGGUUUGCAGAACCUGAUUAAUCUUUCCUUAGCCCAAAAUGAACUAGAGAAGCCUAUUCCACCGUCAUUUGGCCAGUUGCUAAGUUUGGAGUCACUGGAUUUGUCACCUAAUGCUGCACUAUGUUGUGCUGCUCAAUUUCAAAUGCCCCAUGCCCUAUUGUUCCUCCCCACAGAAGAAAGAAAAGUUUGCUUUUGGUCGCGUUUAUUCUUCUUGGGAUUUCCUCCCUAGUUCUUGUAUCUGCUAUGGGAUAUUUUUGAUACGAUGGAAAAUGAGAAGGCGAACUACACUUCAAACUGUGCCAAUUCCUUCAAUAAAUCAUGGAACGAACUCCUACAAUGAACUUGAGAAAAUAACGCAGGGAUUCAGUAAGAGCAACUUGCUUGGCAUUGGGAGCUAUAGCUUGGUUUACAAAGGUAUUCUCAGAGAUGGACUGUUUCGGCUGUAAAUGUGUUCAACCUGAAACUAGGAGAAGCUCUUAAAACUUUUGAAACAGAAUGUGAAGUAUUAGGCCAUCUUUGCCACCGGAACCUAUCCAAAGUCAUUACUAGUUGCUCCACCCGACAUGAAGUUUGGAGCAGUGGUGAUGGAAUACAUGCAAAAUGGAAGCCUCCAAAAAUGGUUAUAUUUGGAAGACCACUUCCUAGACAUCUUGCAAAGGCUAGAUAUAAUGAUAGAUGUAGCUUCUGCAUUGGAUUAUCUUCACAACGGUUAUGAUGCACCAGUGGUGCAUUGCGAUAUGACGCCUAGCAACGUCCUGCUUGAUGAAGAUAUGGUAGUGCAUGUCUAUGAUUUGGUACUGCCAAAUUAUUAGGUGCAGAACCAGAUGGAACUGCACAUGCAAAAACUCUGGCCACAAUGGGUUAUAUGGCACCAGAGUUUGGAUUAGAAGGACUGAUUUCCACCAAAUGUGAUGUUUAUAGCUAUGGAAUCAUGUUGAUGGAAACUUUCACCAGAAGGGGGCCACCUAGUGAUGACAUUUUUUCUGGAGACAUGGCCCUCAGGCAUUGGAUUAAGUCAUCAUUUCCAAGUGCAAUUAUGCAGGUUGUAGACUCCAAUUUGCUGAAACCAGAAGAUGCUGGAGUGUGUGAUAUAUAUGAUGAAGCUAGCAUUGGCCUGCACUAACAUGCAAGAUGUCGUUUCUGCGCUCAAAAAAAUAAGAAUCCAGUUUAAAAGAAGUUGUGGUAGGAGUUUGAAGUAGGAAAAAUUGUUGCAUCCUGAGGUAUCUUCCAUGCCACAGACAAUUCCACGCACUAAUGAAGCUUUUCUAGAAACAUUUUGACAGUGACUGAUUUUGCAUACUUUCAUUCCUUUUUGUAAUUUUUUUUUCCAUUGAGUACUAGUUUCAAAGUUAGUUUUCAUAGAUCAAUCUAAAGAGGGUUGGAGGGCGAAUUUUGAGAUA
Non-coding RNA from Coffea arabica (coffee), 2816 nucleotides. Lineage: Eukaryota; Viridiplantae; Streptophyta; Magnoliopsida; Gentianales; Rubiaceae. The record is from RefSeq and is a predicted model, not a curated record.